This 497-nucleotide ribosomal RNA is filed under the name uncultured bacterium. RNAcentral's name for it is "partial 16S ribosomal RNA". It matches the Rfam family "Bacterial small subunit ribosomal RNA", at positions 28 to 507 of the family's 1533-position model. The record is from RNAcentral.
GAUGAACGCUGGCGGCGUGCCUAAUACAUGCAAGUCGAGCGAACGGACGAGGCUCUUGCUUCUCUGAUGUUAGCGGCGGACGUGAGAGUAACACGUGGAUAACCUACCUAUAAGACUGAGAUAACUUCGGGAAACCGUAGCUAAUACCGGAUAAUAUUUUGAACCGCAUGGUUCAAAAGUGAAAGACGGUCUUGCUGUCACUUAUAGAUGGAUCCGCGCUGCAUUAGCUAGUUGGUAAGGUAACGGCUUACCAAGGCAACGAUGCAUAGCCGACCUGAGAGGGUGAUCGGCGACACUGGAACUGAGACGCGGUCCAGACUCCUACGGGAGGCAGCAGUAGGGAAUCUUCCGCAAAGGGCGAAAGCCUGACGGAGCAACGCCGCGUGAGUGAUGAAGGUCUUCGGAUCGUAAAACUCUGUUAUUAGGGAAGAACAUAUGUGUAAGUAACUGUGCACAUCUUGACGGUACCUAAUCAGAAAGCCACGGCUAACUACGUG